This 1545-nucleotide long non-coding RNA is filed under the name Mus musculus (house mouse). RNAcentral describes it as "long non-coding RNA chr1:32496443-32497988". Lineage: Eukaryota; Metazoa; Chordata; Mammalia; Rodentia; Muridae. The record is from RNAcentral.
AGAGAUUUUUGCAGUAGCUUAGACACAGAUAAUCAUCCUGUAGAAGGUAGAGGAAUUGCAUGUGGUAAUGCACACCUGAAAUCUUCACCACUGGAAGGCUGAUGGGGAAGGAUAGUAAGAAGCAAACCUGAGCUACAAUACAAAACCCUGCUUCAGUAAAAAGGAAGGAAGAUAGAGAAUGUAAAACCGGAAUACAUGACUCGAAUCAGGGCUCGUCCAACUGAAUCAGCGGUAGAAAAUCAAGAAAGCAUGCAAUGUUGUCACAAUGUGAAAAAUAAAGAUUCAUGGCCUGAUGACAAGUCAGUCAUUCAUUGUUGUUCCAGUGAAUCCAUGUUACUUAGCCUACAGAAAAUUUGAAAUGCUAUGCAAGCAUAAUAACAUGAAAUGGUGUAUCAUGACAACAUUGCAUAAGAUGGCUAUAAUUGUACCACAAAUUUGAGGUAGUACAUUCAACAAGAUCCCGUUGAUUAGAUUCCAAUCAACUACUGAGUAGAUAUCUCAUAAACCUGAAGGGUUUUGUUUGUCUGAAAAAAAUCCUCAUUAUGUAGUAAGAAGCUGUAACAAGUGAUUUCCAUCUACACUGGCAUUUCCCUGCUGGAAGCUCAGACGAUCUUUCUGUUUGAUCAUUUUCAAAAGCUACAAAGGGAAGCUCUGUGUGGAUAAGUAAGUUGUUGGCAUUUACUCUGGCAAAAAGAUCAGUGUGAAACUAAUGUGUCAUUUCCUUAAAAGUGGUCAGAAUAAUUUUAACUGUUGUUGUCUUUGUUGUUGUUGUUAAAUCUUUUUGAAAGUUACUCAAGUUAACUUUCAUUUGAAGCCAUCAUUAAAUCAGUAAUGAUAGGUAAAGGAGCAACUGAAAUUACAUGGGACAUAAUAAAGUCAUGGAAAAGAGAAAUUUUAAAUUAGUCUAAUUUUUUAAUGUUGAAUUUUGAAAGGUAAAAUUCAUUGAUUUUUGAAAUAUAUAAUUCAGAUAAUUACUGAAUCCUUGAGUUUCAUGGAGAAACUUCUAGACUUCUAGAAAGGCUCCCUACCUGAUUAAUGUCUGCGCCACUCUAUUAUCAUUGCUGAAUUACUAUGAUUAUAAGAUUAAGUAUGUCCUAAAGCAAUUCAGAAGUUUUUAAUGUAUUCUUGUUCAUGCAGGGCUUGCCAGUACAGUAUUGAGGAGGGAUAGGGGGCUGUCUUUUAUUACCAGUCUCAUAAUAUGGACAGAUAAACUGUUUCUUUUAAGAUAGUCUGUCAUUACCAAGUGUCAAAGUGGAAGGAGUGAAGCAACUACUAAAUUAUCCUACAGGCUCCCUCCUCUUGCCAACACUCCCAUGAGUGAGCAGUGACCUCUGUCAGUGCCGGUGAAUCAUAAAAGCCACUGUUGUGGAUUCUGAGCAGAAAAAUACAUUUACAUGCCUAGAGAAAUAUAGGAUGAAACAUGUUGGUUUUAAAAAGUAAGAUACACACUAAGGAGUCUGGGAAGAAGAAAUAUUCUAAAUCUACCUUCUGAAUCCUUUCUCUUCUUUCCAGAUCUAAGCAGCAAGAGAAACCCCCUAAAUACAU